GUUAGGAAUUUUGGGCAAUGGGCGAAAGCCUGACCCAGCAACGCCGCGUGGGUGACGAAGGCCUUCGGGUUGUAAAGCCCUUUUCUGAGGGAAGAUAGUGACGGUACCUCAGGAAGAAGCACCGGCUAACUACGUGCCAGCAGCCGCGGUAAUACGUAGGGUGCGAGCGUUGCCCGGAUUUAUUGGGCGUAAAGGGCGCGCAGGCGGCCACGCACGUCCGUUGUGAAAUCGCCCGGCUCAACUGGGCGGGGUCGGCGGAUACGGCGUGGCUGGAGCAAGCUAGGGGGUAGUGGAAUUCCCGGUGUAGUGGUGGAAUGCGUAGAUAUCGGGAGGAACACCAGUGGCGAAGGCGGCUACCUGGGGCUUUGCUGACGCUGAGGCGCGAAAGCGUGGGGAGCGAUCCGGAUUAGAUACCCGGGUAGUCC
This 425-nucleotide ribosomal RNA is filed under the name uncultured bacterium. Its description in RNAcentral is "bacterial SSU rRNA". It matches the Rfam family "Bacterial small subunit ribosomal RNA", at positions 354 to 796 of the family's 1533-position model. The record is from RNAcentral.